AUGGGCAAGUACACGACCCGCAUCAGUGCUCUACUUCUCCUCGUGUGCCUUGCUACUACUACACAAUGUCGAGUCAUUGAUGGCAUCGAUAAGGAGAAGAUAAAUGUAUCAUUGUGUGUUUACAAAGAAAGCCUUGAUGACUACUGUUGCAAAGUGACGAAUCAGUGUUACAUAACAAUCGAGGCAUGCCUUAAGGAGUGCAAAGGCAUGGCGGCGAUGCCAACCCCUCCUUUAGCUACCCCAUCUCCAUUCCUGUCAAAUUGA
RNAcentral lists this ribosomal RNA (264 nucleotides) under Triticum aestivum (bread wheat). RNAcentral describes it as "partial small subunit ribosomal RNA". Lineage: Eukaryota; Viridiplantae; Streptophyta; Magnoliopsida; Poales; Poaceae. The record is from RNAcentral.